Molecule: small nuclear RNA, 103 nt
Filed under: Propithecus coquereli (Coquerel's sifaka)
Lineage: Eukaryota; Metazoa; Chordata; Mammalia; Primates; Indriidae
Source: RNAcentral
AUGCUUGCUUCGGCAGCACAUAUACUAAAAUCGCAACAACUGGAAGAUUAGCAUGGCCUCAUGCAAGGAUGACACUCAAAUUAGUGAAGCGUUCCAUAUUUUU